RNAcentral lists this ribosomal RNA (465 nucleotides) under uncultured bacterium. RNAcentral's name for it is "partial 16S ribosomal RNA". It matches the Rfam family "Bacterial small subunit ribosomal RNA", at positions 28 to 507 of the family's 1533-position model. The record is from RNAcentral.
GACGAACGCUGGCGGCGUGCUUAACACAUGCAAGUCGAACGGAAAGGCCCUGCUUGCAGGGUACUCGAGUGGCGAACGGGUGAGUAACACGUGGGUGAUCUGCCCUGCACUUCGGGAUAAGCCUGGGAAACUGGGUAUAAUACCGGAUAGGAGACAUUUUUAGUGUGAUGGUUGGAAAGUUUUUUCGGUGUAGGAUGAGCUCGCGGCCUAUCAGCUUGUUGGUGGGGUAAUGGCCUACCAAGGCGGCGACGGGUAGCUGGCCUGUGAGGGUGGACGGCCACAUUGGGACUGAGAGACGGCCCAGACUCCUACGGGAGGCAGCAGUGGGGAAUAUUGCACAAUGGGCGCAAGCCUGAUGCAGCGACGCCGCGUGGGGGAUGACGGCCUUCUGGUUGUAAACUCCUUUCGCUAGGGACGAAGCUUUUUGUGACGGUACCUAGAUAAGAAGCACCGGCUAACUACGUG